AUACUCUGAUUUCUCUUCAGACCUUAUAAAUCUUUGGUCUUCUACUAAAGAUUAGCGUGGAGAGAAACAUUCGUGAGUUCAUUAAUAACUUUUUGAGUCCUCUUUUUCACAAGCUAU
Molecule: small nuclear RNA, 117 nt
Organism: Trichechus manatus latirostris (Florida manatee)
Lineage: Eukaryota; Metazoa; Chordata; Mammalia; Sirenia; Trichechidae
Product: U5 spliceosomal RNA
Exons: 1
Source: RefSeq, a predicted model, not a curated record